This 50-nucleotide transfer RNA is filed under the name Desis jiaxiangi. Its description in RNAcentral is "tRNA-Asn". Lineage: Eukaryota; Metazoa; Arthropoda; Arachnida; Araneae; Desidae. The record is from RNAcentral.
UAAAGCUUUAAGCGAUUUUAUUGUUAAUAAAAUAGAAGAAAGACAGAUAG